Molecule: ribosomal RNA, 253 nt
Filed under: uncultured bacterium
Lineage: Bacteria
Description: partial 16S ribosomal RNA
Rfam family: Bacterial small subunit ribosomal RNA
Source: RNAcentral
UACGUAGGGUGCGAGCGCUGUCCGGAAUUAUUGGGCGUAAAGGGCUCGUAGGCGGUUUGUCGCGUCGGGAGUGAAAUCCACUGGCUUAACUGGUGGCUUGCUUUCGAUACGGGCAGACUGGAGGUAUGCAGGGGAGAACGGAAUUCCUGGUGUAGCGGUGAAAUGCGCAGAUAUCAGGAGGAACACCGGUGGCGAAGGCGGUUCUCUGGGCAUGUCCUGACGCUGAGGAGCGAAAGUGUGGGGAGCGAACAGG